Molecule: ribosomal RNA, 427 nt
Filed under: uncultured bacterium
Lineage: Bacteria
Description: bacterial SSU rRNA
Rfam family: Bacterial small subunit ribosomal RNA
Source: RNAcentral
CAGCAGUGGGGAAUAUUGCACAAUGGGCGCAAGCCUGAUGCAGCAACGCCGUGUGAGUGAAGAAGGUUUUCGGAUCGUAAAACUCUGUCCUAAGGGAGAAAAAAUGACGGUACCUUAGGAGGAAGCCCCGGCUAACUACGUGCCAGCAGCCGCGGUAAUACGUAGGGGGCAAGCGUUAUCCGGAAUCACUGGGCGUAAAGGGUGCGUAGGCGGCUUGACAAGCCAGGGGUGAAAGGCAUUGGCUCAACCAAUGUAAGCCUUUGGAACUGUUAAGCUUGAGUGCAGGAGAGGUAAGUGGAAUUCCUAGUGUAGAGGUGAAAUUCGUAGAUAUUAGGAGGAACACCAGUGGCGAAGGCGACUUACUGGACUGUAACUGACGCUGAUGCACGAAAGCGUGGGUAGCGAACAGGUUUAGAUACCCUGGUAG